GGUUAAGCGACUAAGCGUACACGGUGGAUGCCCUGGCAGUCAGAGGCGAUGAAGGACGUGCUAAUCUGCGAUAAGCGUCGGUGAGGUGAUAUGAACCGUUAUAACCGGCGAUUUCCGAAUGGGGAAACCCAGUGUGUUUCGACACACUAUCAUUAACUGAAUCCAUAGGUUAAUGAGGCGAACCGGGGGAACUGAAACAUCUAAGUACCCCGAGGAAAAGAAAUCAACCGAGAUUCCCCCAGUAGCGGCGAGCGAACGGGGAGGAGCCCAGAGCCUGAAUCAGUGUGUGUGUUAGUGGAAGCGUCUGGAAAGGCGUGCGAUACAGGGUGACAGCCCCGUACACAAAAAUGCACAUAUUGUGAGCUCGAUGAGUAGGGCGGGACACGUGGUAUCCUGUCUGAAUAUGGGGGGACCAUCCUCCAAGGCUAAAUACUCCUGACUGACCGAUAGUGAACCAGUACCGUGAGGGAAAGGCGAAAAGAACCCCGGCGAGGGGAGUGAAAAAGAACCUGAAACCGUGUACG
This 524-nucleotide ribosomal RNA is filed under the name Escherichia coli. RNAcentral's name for it is "partial 23S ribosomal RNA". It matches the Rfam family "Bacterial large subunit ribosomal RNA", at positions 1 to 564 of the family's 2925-position model. The record is from RNAcentral. Lineage: Bacteria; Pseudomonadati; Pseudomonadota; Gammaproteobacteria; Enterobacterales; Enterobacteriaceae.